ACUAGAAAAUAGUUAUCCUACUUGGAUAACUGUGGCAAUUCUAGAGCUAAUACAUGCAAAAAAGCUCUGACCGCAAGGAACGAGCGCAUUUAUUAGAAUAAAAACCAAUCGGGUUUCGGCCCGUAGUUUGGUGAAUCUGAAUAACUUUGCCAAUCGCACAGUCCUAGUACUGGCGAUGUAUCUUUCAAGUGUCUGCCUUAUCAACUUUCGAUGGUAGGUUAUACGCCUACCAUGGUAGUAACGGGUAACGGAGAAUAAGGGUUCGACUCCGGAGAGGGAGCCUGAGAAACGGCUACCACAUCCAAGGAAGGCAGCAGGCGCGCAAAUUACCCACUUCCAGAACGGAGAGGUAGUGACGAAAAAUAACGAGACAGUCCUCUUCGAGGUCUGUCAUCGGAAUGGGUACAAUUUAAA
Molecule: ribosomal RNA, 414 nt
Filed under: unidentified nematode Sourhope farm
Lineage: Eukaryota; Metazoa; Nematoda
Description: SSU rRNA
Rfam family: Eukaryotic small subunit ribosomal RNA
Source: RNAcentral